Molecule: long non-coding RNA, 930 nt
Organism: Dermacentor albipictus
Lineage: Eukaryota; Metazoa; Arthropoda; Arachnida; Ixodida; Ixodidae
Source: RefSeq, a predicted model, not a curated record
GGGGCUAACACCAACCGCCAAGUGUCACCGGUAUGUGCCACCGGGCCUUAUAUGCCACCGGGAUGUAUAUAUAAGACACCGGGCUUUGUAUGUCAUUGGGUUGUACUCCCAAAUAGAUCACCGGUCUCAGUUUGUCACUGGGCGUUAUUUGGUUGCAUGCGUAACCGGGCUGUGGGUCUUUCUCUGGAAUAGAACCAAUCGCGCGCCGCACAGCGGAGAUGGCACCCUAGCAGCCAUGCGCACCACGACUGUUUGAGACAUGCCACCCUUUUCGGGCUACCGUUCGAAAUGUGUGCUUCACAGGGAGGUCCGCAGCAUUCGUUAGCCUCUCCCAGACGUCGAAAAAUCCCGCACGCUACCGGGCGACAGUGCUUCAGUUCUUCUUCGGAGAAUCGGGACAAGAAGGGAGACCAAACAGCUCUGGCUUGAAUUCCAGUAGCGAGGUGAGGCGCACGGUGGCGUGGCGCGGGUUCUCUUCGUCGACGCGAGGUUCUGCAAUCAUGACAACUUGCAUGCCGGCGACUAAGGCAGCUUCGACGCCCAUGGGCCAGUUUUCGAACACCAGCACCUGUGGGGUCGUCGUCGAAUGGCGGAAAUCCGAAGAGCUCGGCCUUGAAGUCCAUGAACGUAUUUAAGCAAGUGGUUGCCUGGCGCUUGCUGUCUUCAUCCAUGCGUGGAUGCGGUACCAUGACGACCUGCAUGCCGGCACCGAGGGCAGCUGUGGCACCCGUGGGGGAGUCCUGGAGCACGAGGAACUCACCUACCUGCUCGUCCAAUGUGUGCUUCUGAAUAAUACGUGCCAUGAUCUUCAAUAUUGUAAAACACUGAAUGUUUAUGCAGUGAGAAUGCUUCAGAACAAGACAACUGGAUAAUCAAAAGCUUGCCGAGACACUUUAGAUUCACGCUUUGAAACUGCACAAAGUGUAUUUU